Molecule: ribosomal RNA, 453 nt
Filed under: uncultured Porphyromonadaceae bacterium
Lineage: Bacteria; Pseudomonadati; Bacteroidota; Bacteroidia; Bacteroidales; Porphyromonadaceae
Description: partial 16S ribosomal RNA
Rfam family: Bacterial small subunit ribosomal RNA
Source: RNAcentral
ACGGGAGGCAGCAGUGAGGAAUAUUGGUCAAUGGGCGGAAGCCUGAACCAGCCAAGUCGCGUGAAGGAUGAAGGUAUUAUGUAUUGUAAACUUCUUUAGCAGCAGAGUAAUAAGGGGGUCGUGACCCCCGAUGCAAGUAUGCUGAAAAUAAGGAUCGGCUAACUCCGUGCCAGCAGCCGCGGUAAUACGGAGGAUCCGAGCGUUAUCCGGAUUUAUUGGGUUUAAAGGGUGCGUAGGCGGAUGAUUAAGUCUGUGGUGAAAGCGUGCGGCUCAACCGUACCGAGCCAUGGAAACUGGUUGUCUUGAGUGUAAACGAGGUAGGCGGAAUGUGACAUGUAGCGGUGAAAUGCUUAGAUAUGUCACAGAACUCCGAUUGCGAAGGCAGCUUACCAGCAUACAACUGACGCUGAGGCACGAAAGCGUGGGUAUCAAACAGGAUUAGAUACCCUGGUA